RNAcentral lists this ribosomal RNA (585 nucleotides) under uncultured bacterium. Its description in RNAcentral is "bacterial SSU rRNA". It matches the Rfam family "Bacterial small subunit ribosomal RNA", at positions 338 to 916 of the family's 1533-position model. The record is from RNAcentral.
CCUACGGGAGGCAGCAGUGGGGAAUUUUGGACAAUGGGCGCAAGCCUGAUCCAGCAAUGCCGCGUGCAGGAUGAAGGCCCUCGGGUUGUAAACUGCUUUUGUACGGAGCGAAACGGUCUCUUCUAAUACAGGGGGCUAAUGACGGUACCGUAAGAAUAAGCACCGGCUAACUACGUGCCAGCAGCCGCGGUAAUACGUAGGGUGCAAGCGUUAAUCGGAAUUACUGGGCGUAAAGCGUGCGCAGGCGGUUUUGUAAGACAGAUGUGAAAUCCCCGGGCUCAACCUGGGACCUGCAUUUGUGACUGCAAGGCUGGAGUACGGUAGAGGGGGAUGGAAUUCCGCGUGUAGCAGUGGAAUGCGUAGAUAUGCGGAGGAACACCGAUGGCGAAGGCAAUCCCCUGGACCUGUACUGACGCUCAUGCACGAAAGCGUGGGGAGCAAACAGGAUUAGAUACCCUGGUAGUCCACGCCCUAAACGAUGUCAACUGGUUGUUGGGUCUUUACUGACUCAGUAACGAAGCUAACGCGUGAAGUUGACCGCCUGGGGAGUACGGCCGCAAGGUUGAAACUCAAAUGAAUUGACGG